GUGGAACCCUGGUAUCCGG
RNAcentral lists this unclassified non-coding RNA (19 nucleotides) under Mus musculus (house mouse). RNAcentral describes it as "oocyte_clustered_small_RNA8242". Lineage: Eukaryota; Metazoa; Chordata; Mammalia; Rodentia; Muridae. The record is from RNAcentral.